ACUCAUUCCUCACUCAUCCCUCCACACCCUCCCUGACCCCCGCCUGCCGGGGGCUCCCGGCACACGCCGCAGCUCCGGCACCCUCCCCUUGGGAAGCCCGAGGAGGAAGGCGACCAAUGUCACCUGCCCGGGCCACGCGAGUAACUUCUGAAAAGUUCUCAGGCAACUAGGUCAAAAGGAAACUCAGCCGCGGGCACGCGCGCCCCGUCCCUCUGCCACCUGCGCCCAGCUUUGGGACGCCUGGACAUCUCGGGGCCAAACCCUGGCUACUUACAGUGGCCUGCUGCCUUCUCUGCUCCCGCCAAGACCUUCCCUAGGCUCGCAGCCAACUCCCUGUACUACUAGGCAGAGGAAAGUGUGUUCUAGCAGUCAACUCCUCUCUUGGGAGCCCACCCGAGUGCUCGUCUGCCCACAGCAGGGCCAGUCCGACCCAGUACCUAGAGCGCUGUUCUCUCCCGUUCUCACUGCACCGCCUGGAAUGUUUCACCCUCUCUCUGCUCACCUGAGGGAAUCCCGACGACGCCUAGGAUAGCUCAGAAAGUACUGCCUCCUCCGGGAAGCCUUCGUGGAAGCUCGACCCUCCCCCUCUCAGCCCUGCUCCCGCUGCAUUCUGGGUUCUUCUGACUGUCCUAGAUGAAUGCUGUCAGUGGUUUGCAGUUUUUGGUGACCCAACAAUCUUGGCCCCACCAGUCCUCCUCUUUGUCACCAGCAGAGGGGUUCAUUGUUUUGGAGAUCAGGUCUUCUGUACCCCAGACUGGCCUUCAGCUCCUUGCGCAGUUGAGAAUGGCUUUGGGUUCCUGGUUCUCUGGCCUCCAACUCCUGAGGGCUGGAACUGCAGGCAGCUCUGGUGGCUUAAAAUGACAUCGAACUGGAUAGACACUUGGGGAUGAGCGUGAACAACUGACCUCCUGCCUCCACCUCUCAAAUGCUGGAACUACAGGGAUGUAAUACCAUGUACGGCUGCCAUGUUUACCUUAGAGAGCCUGAGUGGCGAAGGCUCUGUUCUCCAUUAUAGUAUAAAGUCAUCAUUUUCUUUAA
Molecule: non-coding RNA, 1038 nt
Organism: Rattus norvegicus (Norway rat)
Lineage: Eukaryota; Metazoa; Chordata; Mammalia; Rodentia; Muridae
Source: RefSeq, a predicted model, not a curated record